This is a non-coding RNA of Podarcis muralis (Common wall lizard), 2310 nucleotides long. The record is from RefSeq and is a predicted model, not a curated record. NCBI's taxonomy places the organism in Eukaryota, Metazoa, Chordata, Lepidosauria, Squamata, Lacertidae.
UUCAGAUGGUACAGAUUAAAAGGACCAGUGGGGUCCCCAAUGUCCCUGACCACCUGUCAAAGCUGGCUCAGAGAGGCGGCCAAGCUGCAGAAGCAAGACGCAUCAACCCAGUUCCAUGGUUAAUUUCAGCCCAGCAAAAGCACUACAGGGGUGUGUGGCCUGACUCGUGCCCCAAGGGCCAAACAAAGGGGCCUCAUUAGGCCCCUGGGCCUGAGAUCCCCCCACUCCUGGAUUGCAGCAACCAUGGACGCAUAAGCUAGCUGGAAUAGGAUGGUGUGCAAUGAACAUUUUCCAUGGGCCUGGACGACAGCAAGUUUAUUCGAAGAAAGGGGGAAAUGAAGAGAACUAGGAAAUAUAAUAUGCUAUCAAAACACAAGGCAGCACUGGAAGUGGGUGAAGCGGGCAGGAGCUGGUGAUGAGGACAUUGAAUGGAGAGCAAAUGUUUUGUGUUGAGAGGCAUCACAUCAAAUUAUCCUGAAACUGAGGAACAUGAUGCACAAACUGGGUAACAAUUGAUAUGAAUCAACCACCACACUCAGCAAACAAUAUAUAUUGAUAACUCCCCCACCCCACCAGCAAGAUGUAUGUUUUUUAUUAUGUUUUUAUUAUUAAAAAGUAAAUGAAUUGCAUUGGGUCCCUGCAUUGGGGCUGUAAUAUGUCUUAAUGGCAUUAUUUUAGAGAAACAGGGUUUCUCCUUUGGCUACAAAGGAAUCUGAUGAAGGCAUCAGCUUUUCAGGUUCAAGCAUCAGACAGGUGUUGCCUCAUGCUGUGUCUCAACAAAGAUACAGGCUAGAACAUUUCCUAAACUAGAGGUUGGGGGCCUCCUUCAGCCUGAGGACCAUGUUUUUCCUUGGACGACCCUCUUGAGGGACACAGGCCAGCAGUGGCAAUGGGCACUGUAGUUGGGGCCAUUCUAUACUCUUCCAGGCACACUGCAGCAACAUACAGGACAGACAUGCAUGUACAGAGAGGGGUGUGUGUGUGUGUGUGUGUGUGUGUGUAGAAACUAGCUCACUAUACAAAGGUUCACAUAGCUUUCUCUGCCCACUUUUGCCUCUGAUUCCACCCACCAUUGGCACGUGGCCCCCAGAAGAUUGCCCCAAAAGGAAUGUGGCCCUGAUGCUGAAAAACAUUCCCCCUAUACUAAGCAGUAAAGCAAGGAUGGAGAAUACCUUGCCUCAAGUCCCAUCAGCAUGGUCAAGGAUGACUGGAGUUCCCCAUUCCUGGCCCAGGGUUUGCAAAAAUGUUGGUUCCUGCUUAUCAUCUUUAAUGAGAUAUAGUAGAAUGGCUCAGAGUAUGAGCUAUGAAGUUCAUAGGUUCAGCCUUCCCUCUGUAUUGUAAUUGCUGCAAGGCUUUAGACCGGAGAUGGAGAACCUGUGGUCCUUCAGAUGGUAUUGUACUCCAUCAGCUCCACGCAGCAUGGCAAACGGUCAGAGAUAGGAGCCAAAAACAUCUGAAAGGCCACACUCUCAUGGAAUGAAGAGUGAUAUUGAGGAUGGUCAAUGGCUUUCAUCACCAGGACUGACUAAUGAGGCUUCUUAGUCAGCCUUGGGCUUUGUCUGAGCAAUGACUCCAGAUCUUUCCUGGCACCAAAUCCAGCACCUCGUCUGGUUGCCUGACUUGGACUUGGCUCUCACAUUUUGGCACUGAUAGCUCAUCUCUGACAAUAUUUGUUUCAUCUCCUUUUAGAUGUCCACCAAAUCCUUAGCUUGCUUGCUUUACUUUUGCAAUGCAGAGAAAUCAAAGUACAGCAAACAGGCCCUUUCCCCCUUAACCACUCCAGCCUCUUUCACCCUCACAACAUUUCCCCCCUCUUUUUUUUUUGUGUGUGAUCAUUUAUUUUUUAGCUUGUUGCUGGAAUCACAGCUGAACUUCCUAUUGGCCCUGGGGGAAUGGACAGCAAUAAUUUUAAAUGGUUUGGUAGACACAGCUAUGGCACAAGGCCAAGACUAAUUUCAAGCCUUGUGGUGCUGUAUAAGAGGCAGGGAGGGGAGGGGAGGAAGACUAGAAACCCUAACCCAGAACCAGAAUUAUCCCUCAACAAUAGUGGGAAUCAGAAAGGCCUAUGUAUGUAUAUAGGUGGGGCAAAAAGCUUGAGGGAUGCACACAUUUAUGGUUCUAUGUUGUUGGAGGGAUGGCGGUGGGGUUAGAAAAUAAAUAAAUAGAAUAACUAGACUUUGGGAUAUCGGUUGGGUAGCUCUUUGAUGGGACUUGGAAUUUGCUGAAAUUGUAUAAAAGAAUUGUGCAAAAGGUUGUACCUUGCCUACUUUGCUUUCAAAAGGGUAGGCCUUGGUCAAUUGAAUAAAUCUG